AUGUGCUAUGGGGUGUACUUCGCCGCCAAGAAGCUGAAGCCCUACUUCCAAGAGCAUCCCAUCACGGUCGUGUGCACCGCCCCGCUCGCCGUGAUCAUAGGCAGCCGGGAUGCAUCCGGCCGGGUGGCUAAGUGGGCCAUUGCGUUGGCACCAUACACGAUCUUCUACCAACCCCGCACCGCCAUCAAGUCCCAAGCAUUGGCCGACUUCCUCGUCGACUGGGCCGAGACCCAGUACCUACCGCCGGCUCCCGACUCUACCCAUUGGCGGAUGCACUUUGACGGGUCCAAGAUGCGCACCGGCUUGGGAGCCGGCAUCGUCCUCACCUCUCCCAAAGGCGACAAGCUCAAAUACACGCUGCAGAUCCACUUUGCCGCCUCCAACAAUGUGGCCGAGUACGAGGCGCUCGUGCAUGGGCUCCGGCUAGCCGAAGAGCUCGGCAUACGCCGGAUCCUGUGUUACGGCGACUCAGACUUGGUGGUCCAGCAGUCGUCGGACGCGAACAUGGCAAGCUAUCGAUUCCUUGUCCAGCAGAUCAGCGGGUACUUCGAAGGGUGCGAGUUCCUUCACGUGCCAAGGGCCGACAACGACCAAGCAGAUGCCCUAGCACGGAUCGGCUCCACCCGACAAGCCAUACCGACUGGCGUCUCCCUCCAGCGCCUCCACAAGCCGUCCAUCAAGCCGUCUCUAGAGUCGGACUCUAUCUUCGUACCACCUGUGCCAGAUGCAGCCGGAUCCAACUGGAGGAACCCCGCAGGCAGCACAGGGACUUCGACAACUGGCCCGGGGACUGCUGUAGUCGCACCCGGCCCGGGGACUUCAGAACCCGGCCCGGGGACUGCAGCAGUCGGCCCGGGGACUGCAGCAACACAAGAACCGGUGGCCGACUCCAAUUCCACGCCACCCAACCCACCCACCCGAGUCAUGGUGGCUACACUAACUGAAGAAGAAGUCACAGCUCCAUCAUGGGCCCAGCCCAUCCUCAAGUUCCUAGUCAGCAGAGAGCUGCCGGCUGAUGAGAUCUCAGCAAGACUAGUGCAACGACGAGCCGGAGCAUAUGCAAUAAUCAACAGAGAGCUUGUGAAGCGCAGCGUCACUGGAGUCUUCCAGCGUAGUGUCGAGCCAGAAAAAGGAGUGGCAAUCCUCAAGGAUAUCCACCAAGGCGAAUGCGGCCACCACGCAGCCUCAAGAUCACUUGUGGCCAAGGAUUCCCGCCAUGGUUUCUUUUGGCCGACUGCCUUGGAAGAUGCCAAAGAGAUAGUCAAGAGCUGUAGAGGAUGCCAAGUCUUCAGUUCCAAGCAACACCUGCCGGCUUCUGCACUCAAGACCAUUCCCCUCACCUGGCCCUUUGCCGUCUGGGGACUGGACAUGGUGGGCCCUUUCAAGACAGCCCGCAGUGGCUUGACACAUCUACUUGUCGCUGUGGACAAGUUCACAAAGUGGAUCGAACGAAGCCGGUCAAGAAGCUGA
RNAcentral lists this ribosomal RNA (1470 nucleotides) under Triticum aestivum (bread wheat). RNAcentral's name for it is "partial small subunit ribosomal RNA". Lineage: Eukaryota; Viridiplantae; Streptophyta; Magnoliopsida; Poales; Poaceae. The record is from RNAcentral.